UUGUGAUGCAGGGACAAGUCACAGAGGUGUGAGCAAGCUGGGGAACCAGCCAAGCAUGGUAAAGAUCAGAGACUGGAAACACACACACACACACACACACACACACACACACACACACACACGGACAGACAGAAGAACAGGAUGGACUCCGGAGAAGGGGGUUGUGGAAGUGAGGAUUCUGCUACUAAGGAACCCUCCCAUUUUUUCUGCCCGUCUGUGAUCUCUGUGAGACCUCCAUACCUGAUGAGAGCCUGGGAGGCACAAGAGUCUGAGAAAUGCAAGACUCUAUAUUGUAUGAAGGAGAAACACAGAACUAACAUGGCCGUCCGGGGAAAAUUUCCUAGAAGAAAUGACUUCCAUGCUGAGAUAGAGUUGGCCUGGGACAGAGAAUACCAGUGGUGACCUAUGAUGUAGGCUCCAAUUACUGCUCCAGCACCUUGCCUGCCUGCAGCCAUCUCCCCUCUAUGAUGGUUAUGGAUAUACCCUCUGAAGCCUUACACCCCCACUAAACUCUUCCUUAAGUCGU
Mus musculus (house mouse) is the source of this 526-nucleotide long non-coding RNA. RefSeq annotates it as predicted gene, 39331. The transcript is spliced from 3 exons. NCBI's taxonomy places the organism in Eukaryota, Metazoa, Chordata, Mammalia, Rodentia, Muridae. The record is from RefSeq and is a predicted model, not a curated record.